Molecule: long non-coding RNA, 296 nt
Filed under: Equus asinus (donkey)
Lineage: Eukaryota; Metazoa; Chordata; Mammalia; Perissodactyla; Equidae
Description: lncRNA (ENSEASG00005026290.1)
Source: RNAcentral
UAAAGGGCGAGACAGGCGAGAUCGCUCGCUUCGGCCUGGUUGCUGCGCCGGUGCGCUGGCCCCGGGUUCUGCGCGCUGACGUCGCGGGAGGAAUGCGGUGACGCCGCGCGGCUCGUCUGUGACUGUUCUUUGCUGCCCCUGGGAGUGACCUGAUGGAAAAGCAGCAGCUGCAGCCCCAGUCUGCCUGGAAGUGCCAGCUGAGACCCAACCCUGAGAAGACCCCCUAAGAAUUCAGGAGACUUCCAGGCAGGAAGCGCCCAGAUAAACCGCAGCUGCCAAGCAAGUGGCUCAGCCCC